Long non-coding RNA from Astyanax mexicanus (Mexican tetra), 484 nucleotides. RefSeq lists it as uncharacterized. Lineage: Eukaryota; Metazoa; Chordata; Actinopteri; Characiformes; Acestrorhamphidae. The record is from RefSeq and is a predicted model, not a curated record. The transcript has 3 exons.
UCUUGGCAGUCAUAGGGGUUUUGCCCCAAGCGACCCAGGCAAAGCCUCAGAGUGGUGGCAGGUGGAUGGGGCAUUCAAUUUUCAGAGGUUGGCAGGGAUUUAGCAUUCCUCAAUCCACAGUGAAAACACGUCUAUUCAUUUAGUGCAGAAGGCCUCACACAAAUUCCCCACCGAACAUCCAUGUCAGUAGUACUAAAUGUACUGCAUUGUUGGUCGGUGAGUAAUCAUGGACUGAAGUUAUCCUUAUACUCAGUCCCAGCUGGAUGGUUCAGUAGUCAAAUGGAGCCUCAGACAAGCUGUGCGUACUGGACAGUGGCAGACCCAUGGUUCCUCUGCCAUCUUGCCUCAAAAUCCUUUUUUUUUUUUUUUUUGGGGGGUGGUUUCAGUUAACUUACCAGAUAACUAUCUUCACCAUGUGUAAUUUUAGACUAUCUAGCCUUUGAUAUGAGUUGUACAUUAUCUUCUUUUAACCAGUGCUCUAAUA